This 459-nucleotide ribosomal RNA is filed under the name uncultured bacterium. Its description in RNAcentral is "partial 16S ribosomal RNA". It matches the Rfam family "Bacterial small subunit ribosomal RNA", at positions 338 to 795 of the family's 1533-position model. The record is from RNAcentral.
CCUACGGGCGGCAGCAGUGAGGAAUAUUGGUCAAUGGCCGCAGGGCUGAACCAGCCAAGUCGCGUGAGGGAUGACGGUCCUAUGGAUUGUAAACCUCUUUUGUCAGGGAGCAAAGGGCGCCACGUGUGGCGCUUUGCGAGUACCUGAAGAAAAAGCAUCGGCUAACUCCGUGCCAGCAGCCGCGGUCAUACGGAGGAUGCGAGCGUUAUCCGGAUUUAUUGGGUUUAAGGGGUACGCAGGCGGAAUGUCAAGUCAGCGGUAAAAUUUCGGGGCUCAACCCCGUCGUGCCGUUGAGACUGGCGUUCUUGAGUGAGCGAGAAGUAUGCGGAAUGCGUGGUGUAGCGGUGAAAUGCAUAGAUAUCACGCAGAACUCCGAUUGCGAAGGCAGCAUACCGGCGCUCAACUGACGCUCAUGCACGAAAGCGUGGGUAUCGAACAGGAUUAGAUACCCUGGUAGUC